Non-coding RNA from Ictidomys tridecemlineatus (thirteen-lined ground squirrel), 1507 nucleotides. The record is from RefSeq and is a predicted model, not a curated record. NCBI's taxonomy places the organism in Eukaryota, Metazoa, Chordata, Mammalia, Rodentia, Sciuridae.
CCCCACUAACCUCAUUCCUGCUCCUGGACUAGAUGCUCCACUGACUAGAGAGAGAUGUGGGACCCUCCUGGAAAGGCAACAUGAUGUCCUGUGUGGUUAUUGUGGGAUCCUAAAGGCCUGUAUGCAUAGGCCACUUAUAAUUCCUUUUUAUAUUUGCACUUAGAGGAUGGGAGAUCAGUAAAAGAAGAAAAGAUCCUUGCAAGAAUACCACUGUACCUCUGGUUGUUAUGAUCACUCCCAGUUGUACAAAUGCCAUUGGUUGCUGAGUGCUUACUUCCAGCUUUGGGGUUCUUUGGUUUGCUGUCAGAGAAACUCUACUCAAAUGCCCUUCUCAGAAACUUAGAAAUCACAAACAAGUUGGAAGCCUUAGUGCAAGCACAGGAGGAAAAAAAUUGUAGGAAAAUGAAAGGUCUAAAAGAUAUGCAGGACAUCAUCAUGUGCAUCUCAGCAGAGGAGGAAUGACAGAGAUUGUCUCUGGGCCUGUCUGAAGCUGAGAUAGCCAAAAACUGCCAAUUACACUGAGAUGCAUUAAUAGAUAACAGAUCCAUAAACAUAUCUUUAAUACCAUGGCACACCAAGUGGAGUUCUCACACCUAUCCUGAACAUGAUACCGUAGGGCAGCAGGAAGCACUUCCUCUUAAAAUCCACAAGGACCGUCUACAUAAAAGUUCAAAGAUUAGUUCACAAAUUUUAAAAUCCAGUUUCAGACCCUUGAAAUCACCCCAGUUUUCUUCCUGUUCACAAUGGAAUAAAUACUGAAGCUAACUGCAGAUGAAAAAUUAAAUGAAACACCUCCUUCUUAAGCAACAAGUGGUAACAAAAGAAAAGGGAUUCAAAAAAAUCUGAAGCAAAAGUAAAAUAAGAAUACACUGAAACUUAUGGAAUACAGUAAAGGAGGAAAAAAACCCAAAAAACAAAAGCAAGAUGAUAACAGUGAAACUUUACAAUAAGGAUGAAGAAAAUUUGGAUCAAGUAACAACACAUCUGAAAAGGAAAACUGCCAACUAAAGACAACAGAAUCAAAAAGAAGGAGAGAAAAAAUGAGAACUAGAGCAGAAAGACUUGCUGUAGAGGACAGAAAUCAUCAGCCAAACAAUAUGCUCACUUUUUUGAAAAUAUCAACAAAAAUACCAGGCACAGUGUUUCGUGCCUAUACACCUUUUAGUGGGUUUGCUGCAGAGUCACAGGGGGUCAGCAACUAUGCCCAGUACUAUAGAAGAAAGGAGACUCAGGACCAUCUGAGAACAUCACUUUGCCUCAGUGACAGCCACCCCUGAUUCCUUUCUUUCUUACUCCUCUUCAGAACUUCUUGCUCAGAUAACAUGAAUCUUUAUGAGUCAAUCCUGGAUGGUGGAAACUUACUGUUUAAGGCUCAGAAUCAACACAUCUUUUUCCUCUUUCAUAGUCACACCCUGUCACAGAAGGUAUCUCAGCAUGUGGGAAGAUGUUCCCUAACCGCCCACUGCACCUAGGAGAUGCAGGGACAGUAAACUCCUGCAAGAAGGCC